AGAGUUUGAUCAUGGCUCAGGAUGAACGCUGGCGGCGUGCUUAACUCAUGCAAGUCGAGCGAAGCGCUUUACUUGGAUUUCUUCGGAAUGACGAGUAUUGUGACUGAGCGGCGGACGGGUGAGUAACGCGUGGGUAACCUGCCUCAUACAGGGGGAUAACAGUUAGAAAUGACUGCUAAUACCGCAUAAGACCACAGCACCGCAUGGUGCAGAGGUAAAAACUCCGGUGGUAUGAGAUGGACCCGCGUCUGAUUAGCUGGUUGGUGGGGUAACGGCCUACCAAGGCGACGAUCAGUAGCCGGCCUGAGAGGGCGACCGGCCACAUUGGGACUGAGACACGGCCCAAACUCCUACGGGAGGCAGCAGUGGGGAAUAUUGCACGAUGGGGGAAACCCUGAUGCAGCGACGCCGCGUGAAGGAAGAAGUAUUUCGGUAUGUAAACUUCUAUCAGCAGGGAAGAAAAUGACGGUACCUGACUAAGAAGCCCCGGCUAACUACGUGCCAGCAGCCGCGGUAAUACGUAGGGGGCAAGCGUUAUCCGGAUUUACUGGGUGUAAAGGGAGCGUAGACGGAGAGGCAAGUCUGAUGUGAAAACCCGGGGCUCAACCCCGGGACUGCAUUGGAAACUGUUUUUCCUAGAGUGUCGGAGAGGUAAGCGGAAUUCCUAGUGUAGCGGUGAAAUGCGUAGAUAUUAGGAGGAACACCAGUGGCGAAGGCGGCUUACUGGACGAUGACUGACGUUGAGGCUCGAAAGCGUGGGGAGCAAACAGGAUUAGAUACCCUGGUAGUCCACGCCGUAAACGAUGACUACUAGGUGUCGGGUGGCAAAGCCAUUCGGUGCCGCAGC
Molecule: ribosomal RNA, 847 nt
Filed under: uncultured bacterium
Lineage: Bacteria
Description: bacterial SSU rRNA
Rfam family: Bacterial small subunit ribosomal RNA
Source: RNAcentral